This 253-nucleotide ribosomal RNA is filed under the name uncultured bacterium. RNAcentral describes it as "partial 16S ribosomal RNA". It matches the Rfam family "Bacterial small subunit ribosomal RNA", at positions 524 to 776 of the family's 1533-position model. RNAcentral also lists the same sequence under 1 other name. The record is from RNAcentral.
UACAGAGGGUGCAAGCGUUGCUCGGAUUUACUGGGCGUAAAGCGUACGCAGACGGCUUGGUAGGUCGGAUGUGAAAGCCCCGGGCUCAACCCGGGAAUUGCAUCCGAAACCACCUCGCUCGAGUGUGGGAGAGGGAAGCGGAAUUCCUGGUGUAGAGGUGAAAUUCGUAGAUAUCAGGAGGAACACCGGCGGCGAAGGCGGCUUCCUGGCCCAUUACUGACGUUCAGGUACGAAAGCGUGGGGAGCAAACAGG